This 403-nucleotide ribosomal RNA is filed under the name uncultured bacterium. RNAcentral describes it as "partial 16S ribosomal RNA". It matches the Rfam family "Bacterial small subunit ribosomal RNA", at positions 28 to 526 of the family's 1533-position model. The record is from RNAcentral.
GACGAACGCUGGCGGCGUGCCUAAUACAUGCAAGUCGAACGCAGUGGGGACGGGUGAGUAACACGUGGGUAACCUCCCAUCAGACGGGAUAACACUUGGAAACAGGUGCUAAACCGAUACUGUUGGAUGUACCCGCGGUGCAUUAGCUAGUGGGUGAGGUAACGGCUCACCAAGGCCACGAUGCAUAGCUGACCUGAGAGGGUGAGCUGCCAAACUGGGACUGAGACACGGCCCAGACUCCUACGGGAGGCAGCAGUAGGGAAUCUUCGGCAAUGGACGAAAGUCUGACCGAGCAACGCCGCGUGAGUGAAGAAGGUUUUCGGAUCGUAAAGCUCUUUUGUUAGAGAAGCGGUAUCUAACCAGAAAGCCACGGCUAACUACGUGCCAGCAGCCGCGGUAAUAC